ACGGGUUAAGUUUUGAUAAACUUAAGGAACCCAAAUGAUUAGUGCAUACUUAAAGGACUACUUUGAACCUAGCUCAAACAUAAGAGACCAUUUUUUUCAUUUUCCCAUACUAUUAUUUUCAGCUCCUUUUAUUCAAUGCCUAUAUAAAGGGUCUCUAAUCAAUUUAUCUAUACAACAAUAGAAAACAAUUAGGUUAUCUACUUUCUCGAAUUUCAAGAAUUAACAUAUAUACAUACAUAUGGCACCUCAAAUAGAAUUUGUGAAGACUUUAAGUAGAGAUCUUGGACUUUCCUUUUUGGAAGGUAGAAAAAGAAGAUCUUCUUCUCCUUCUAGUCCACAAAGGGUUGCAGCUGAAGAAGUACCAAAACAAACUAAUUGUGUUUACAGAUAUCAUCAACAUUCUGAUAUUGUUCAGGUCAAUCCUGUUUCCGCUACCGAGGAAAGAGUUGUCAGCAGCAAUUAUCAAGUACAAUUUCAUGAGAGGAAAUCAGUUGCCUUGGCUUAUUAAUUUUGAUUAAUGUAUGAAACUUAUGUACUUAUUAAUGCUUAUUAAGUCUUAACUCAACUGAGCUUUUUAGUCGAACGUGUACUUUUUAUGUAGUUUCUACGUUCUUGUUUCCCUCAAAUUAACAAUUAACAAGGAGGAGAAAGAGAUUUUGGUGGUUGUAAUAUAUAUAUAUGACCACUUACCUAUUGGCUAUUCCCUUUAAGGAACUAUAUGCUUCUAUAUGUUACUAUAUAAGUUAGUUGGACUUUUCAUAAAUGGUAUCGAAUGCGUGUGGAAUUUUUCAAAAACAAUGCAUUUGUAAAAAAAUCCAAUAUGGGCGAAAUAAUUUUUGUUUGGAGAGUGUAAGCAAAACAGUUUAUAACUAAGCAAUGUCAAGUUUGGUGAAAGGUUGUUUCUUUAAUAAAUUUCUAUACCAAGAUAAAGUUGUAAGAUAAUUAUUUGUUUCAAUUCUUUGGUUGAAAUAUUGAGAUCAUCACUUACAGAGUUCUAAAGAAAGUUAAAACAUUUAUUUUAGCUUUGUAAGCUUUUUUCGAGUUAUUUUUUACUUAUAUCAAUUUUUUUUUUUUUUUUGUAGAAACAUUUCUUCUAACCCAAGAAAAUUAACGAGAACUUUGGUGAACAGAGUGUAACACAUAAUUUUGUCCCUCUCAAAAAUUAUUUUUUACAACUUUACCCCAUCUUAUCACGUACCUUCACCCGUGUGAUAAUCUAUUCACAAAAAGACAAAAAAUAAAUAAAUUCUCAACAAAUAACCACCUCUCUAAUUAAAAACAGAUACCUUACCCCCACAUACCCAUUCCACGUGCCUCUAUUCACCCCUUUAAUCACAUUUUUUUCCUUACCUCACAACAGAAUUCACGAAUGGCCAUUCCAAUAUAACGGCAAUACACAUCACCCUCACUGGAAAUUAUCAUAGCUUCACUCAUAUGGGGGAUUUUCAUAUACACAGAUUCAUUCUCACACAAAGAACACACAAUUAAGCGCAGCAACAGAAAAGCGAACUGAUCGAUUGGGUACACCAUUACAACAUACACACACCGACUGAAACAGAUACAAAUAGAAAAAUCGGGUGAGGCAGAAAACAAGGAGAACAAGUGAGGUAAAUAGUAGGUAAAUCGUGAGAGGAGGGGGAGAGAUGAGUCUUUCCGGCGAAUUUUUGCCGGAAGAUGCCAUAAACACCACCAGCUCCGGCAUCAUCGAUUCCCACCGAAAAAAACAACAACGACCAGCAAACCACCGCCAAAAAAUUAAAAUCAACCAACUAAAACCAACCCUUCACCGGAAAUUUGCUGAAAAUUGUCAUCGUUGUCACUGUUCUAGCAGCAGUAACUCACCGAAAAAGUGACCAAAUGUUCCACCAGGGACCAAGCAAUCGAGUCUAAGCGAAUCAGAGUUCGGGAUCAAAGUUAUUGAUCUGGGUUCAUUUUGAGGUUUUGAUUUGAGGUUCCAGCGCGAACUCCAUCUCAUUUAAUGGAAUAAUACUUCAUUGAAAGCGACUUCUUUCUUCUUUAUCUUUUAAUUCUUAUGUAAUUAUGAAUCUGUGAUUCGAUAUUAUUAUUUUAUUUAUUGAUGUGAAUUGUUGGUGACAUUUGGUUGUUUGAUGUUGCUAUGCAUGAUUUGUGAAUGUUCAUUAUUCUUAAUUGGUGGAUUGCAUACUGAAAUAGGUUAACUACAUCGAGAGAUAAAAAUUCGUUAUUUGGGGGCGAAAAUUGAAAAUUGAUAAAAAGCAAGCGUUAGUUGAUUUGCUUCAUUGAUGUUGUUGAAUGUGAUAGUAUAGUGAUAGGUCGAGUUGGGUAGGAAAACAAUAGGCUUGGGUAGGUAAAUUUAGAACUUGUGGAUUGUGGAAUGUCUAGAAUAUUUCCUGAAUGGAUUUGUUUAUUGCAUUUGGAUAAAUUGUACUCAAUUGGCCGGAGAAUGCCCCGAGACACAUUGUACUUAUUCACCAGGGAAUGUCUCGAAAUAUCAAGUAUGCAAAGGAGGCUCGCGAUCAAGGCUCGAGGCAUCGGGUAAAGCAUAGUAUAGGACAGUUAGAAUAAUAUAGAUUUUAAUUUCAGAAUUUUUACUUCGGUUUGUAACAAAUUGGACUGGACACUAUUUUUUAUACUUUUGAGUGUUUGAUUGUUUAUUUUGUUUUGUGUGUUUUAUGUGAUUUACUUCAUAGGGUCAGACUAGUCGAUAUUACUCCAAGAGCGACCGUAGUCGAACCACGAAAUCGAGGGAUGCCUAACACCUUCCCCUCGGUCAAUAGAAUUUCUUAAUCAAAAUUUCUGUUCGCGGAUCAGUUUCUAAGAGUCAAAAAUCAUUUUUGAAAAAAAAUUUUCAAAGGUAACUUGGCACACCCGAUUUUGUCAAGUGGCGACUUUAAAAUUUUAUUGUUAAAUAUCCUUUUCGGAACAAAUUAUUUUCUUUUGUCACUUAAUAAUAAAACUCUUUCAAACUUGAAAUCAAUCUUUUGAGUAAAAAAGAGGUGUGACAUCUCUGGCGACUCUGCUGAGGAUUUUCAGAAUUCAAACUUUAUUUUUUAGUUGUAUCGGUUUAGUGUGGCACUAUAGGUGUACAGACAUUUUGAGUGUGAUAUUAUUUUAUCAUUGUUGUGCGCUUACGUGCUACGUGUUUACAGGUUUUCUUUUAUGUGUUACCGCUUUAUAUCUGAUAUCAUAUGCAUUACCCCUAGUCAAUUCUUUUGCAACAAGUAUCAGAGUACACGUCGUGUAUACGAACUCUAGUUGAGUCACCCUUAUUUUAGGAGGGAGAGCCGUCAGAUAUAUGGAGUAGGUGGAAAACAAUCGCUGCUACUAUCAAUCAUAUGCGCUCCCCGAACAGUCUUGUUAGUGGAUCCCAGCCUAGGUCAGUCUUUAGGUCAUGCUUAUUUAUAAAAUAUUGAGACCUAACGGGACCCAUUUGGUCCUUUAUAGGAGGCUCACCCCUAAAGCAUCCCUACAUGCUAAUUGUUGCAUCUUUGAGGGUAAUAGAGUCAUUUGAUGCACCGAUUUGGGAAAAACAUAUGCAGAAAUUAAAGGAAGGCAGAUGUUUAGGUAAGGAAAAAUUUGAAAAAAGGAAAAAAGAAGAGAAAAAGUGAGUCAGAAAAGAGUUUCGUAGUUUUUCUUUUUAGAGUUCUUUAUGAUUUUUGUUUUUCACCAUCCAAAAAAAUUCAAAAAUAUUUUUUUACCAUUCAAAUUCAUUUGUCAAAAACAAAAACAUCAAAAAGGUUUUCCUUUUGUUUCUCUAGUAAGCAUUCAUAAUUCAAAAUUUUCAAAAAAAGAUUUUUCCUUCAUAGGAGCUUUUUAUAAAAGAAAAUUCAACAAUGGUAGAAGUUUUGUACUUUUCGUGUUAGUUUUAUGUGAUGUGUCAAAUUAAAAUCCAAAAUUUUUUUUAUUAACGUUUUUCAUUUUGUCUUUGGUCGUGUCUCUUAAGUCAAGGUUCAGUUUGUUAUUUAAUCCUUAAUUGUCCAGUCUAACGAACUACACACUUCUGAUUCUCCUCUCUCGGGAGUGAGAUACGUAGGAUGCCCUUCUUGGGAUCAGUGAUCUUAUUUUAAAAAAAAUUCAAAAAAAAUUUCUUCACUCUUUAUUUAGAGUAGAUGUUUUUAUAUACAUCUUUAAAAGAAAAUCACAAAAGUCUUUUUCUUUAAUAGCUUCAAGUUUCACUUUCAUAUGAAAUUAAAAAUCGAAACCCCAAAAAAAA
RNAcentral lists this long non-coding RNA (4192 nucleotides) under Capsicum annuum. RNAcentral describes it as "long non-coding RNA (CANN_LNC018869)". Lineage: Eukaryota; Viridiplantae; Streptophyta; Magnoliopsida; Solanales; Solanaceae. The record is from RNAcentral.